CAAAGUUUAAGUUUUAAUUACUAAUCAUUACUACUCGACACUCAUGAGCACAUAAGUUGUAAACACAUAAGCAAAUAAGUGUUUUAUUACUUCUUUCUUAAAACUCGAUAAGAGUUCAUCAUCACUAUCUUUUUUAAAGUUACUUCCUAAGGCUUUUCCCCCACCUAAGGUUCAUAACCUAAGGCUUUGAUACUAACUUGUGACACCCCCAAACCCAGGUACUUCAUUUCCACAGGAUUUGGUGUUCACUUAAUCAAACAUUCAUAUCUAACUACCAAAUCACAAUAAAACUGGAUAAUUAAACCUUCCCCCUUAAAGGGUUACAUAAAAAAAAUCUCCUAGGUUGUCUAACCUUUAAACACAAUCAUUCAAAUGCGGAAAAUAAAUAAUCUUUAUUACAACCAUUCCAUUAAAAACUGAUAAUAAAAUAUCAUCAAAUUACAAGUCUUCAAAACUUGUUCAUCUUUCCUUUUCCCUUACUGGUGCUAGGUACAUCAACCUUCUCAUCCUUAACUAUAAUAAUUAUAUAAGCAAGAGUGAGCAAACAAAGCUCACUUGAUACAAUAAUCAAUGAAAAACCUUUACAACAAAUGUAAAAUAAGAGACUCAAUAGAUUUAAACAAUUACGAUUUGUCAACAAUCUGAAGUAAAUAACUGAGGGUCCUAAGACCACGAACUAUGUCCAUAGUGAUAAGUAAUGUUUCAACUUAAACUUUAACAGUCAUAAGACUAUAGGGACUCCUCGUACUUAGGGGGAUCAACCCUUUGUACAAUGUAUUGUGCACAAACAUUUCAACGCUAAGCGUAAGUUACCCCCAAUAAUAGGGUUGUUCAUCUCAGUACUUAGAGUACAAGUCCGCACCAAAAUGAGUUUGGUUUGGAUACAUUUUAGGGUAAUUUAGAAUUCAACGAACAUCAACUAAGGAUUAGUUGAAUAAAACCAAUAACAUCGUACUAUAGAAUAAUCGUAAUUGAAUCAACAUGGUAAACCAAAAUCAUGCUUUAGGAAUAAUCUAAUAGCAUAUACUUUGAAUAACUAUAACAUGCCUUGCUUGAACAAUAUUAAGUCAAGGUUAAUUAGAAUUGAGUACUAAGCAUGCAUAGUAGUUUGAACGAUAAAAUUGUUCGACAUUAGUAUAAAUAGUUGUUCAUGCUAAACAACAAGUUAAAUACAAGAAUAACUUGUCAACAUCAAACCAAAGUUUAGAAAGCUUGCAUCAUUUAUAAGGUAAUCGAAUUGAAACAAUAAAUAGUUCAACAAGAUAAAGAAUUAGAAAACUUGCAUUGCUCGUAGGCUAAACCGAAUCAAUUCGGAUCACAAUACCUUAUAUGUACAUAUGUACAUAUAUAUAUAUAUAUGUCAUCAUGACAUAGUUAGUCACUACUACUUUACAAAUUUAACUAACUAUAUACAUAAUAUAGGUUUGAUUAUUUAAUCAUAUAAUCAAGUUAUAACACAAGUUAAUUGUUAAUAACAUACUUAUUCUUAGUAUAGAAAUACUAAUAUCAACAUUUUACAGUCCUACUAUCAUCACAUAACAAUUUCUUAACAUUUGAGUACAAAAAAAAUACACUGUCAGACCAUUCUGCUAACUCGCGCUGCGGCGCCACAGUUUAUACUGUGGUGCGGCGCUGCGGCGCAAGAAUAACGCUACAAGGCCGCGCUGUGGCGCGAAAGAUGAACUGAUGGGCCGCGCUGCGGCGCCAAACUGUAGUUUCGACUGACAGCUUCGGCAACAGUAUAAGAAAAAGCCAAUUUUGGCCUAAAAGUUCCUUUCUAACAGCCUAAUUCACAUGAAAUUCAUACAAAGACUUCAUGUAAACAUAAUUCAAAGAUUGUAAAUAUGUUUCUACUCAUAAAACAAUAUAAACAACAAAUUUAACACAUACAAUUUCACUAUUUUUGAUAAAAACUCACUUUUUGAUGUUUUUGACGAAAAUAAACACUGUGAUUUUGUUUUUCAACCAAAACAGUUAAUUCAAAGCAUUUUAUCAAUGUUUAUACAUACUCUAUCAAACUCAACAGUCAAUUUAUCAAUUAAACAACUAAUUACCCUUAAUUUUUACUUUAAACUAAACAAUAUAUAUAUACACAAACUCUCUGUAAAAAUAGCUUUUCUUCACAACCAUAUACAUAAUACAAAUUCAUGGACUAUUCUCCAUUAUAGCUUAAGAAAAUAGUUUAACAACACUAGAUUAUCAUAUAAAAUCACAUACAUAACAAAUAAUUUAUCCUUACACAAGGAUUUUACAUAGAAUUAGGGAAGAGAAAAAAGUAAACCUUUAAAACUAAAAAGAAUAAGAUAAUACCUUGAAGAAGAUGAUGAUGGCUAUUCCCUUUUUUUUUUUUAUUCUCAAGCUUUUCUUCUCACCAAUUCCCUAGCAUUUCUUCCUCUCUUCUUUUCUCUCUCACUUUUCUUCUCUUCUUCUUCUUCUUCUUCUUCUUCUUCUUCUUCUUCUUCUUCUUCCUCUGAGUUUUCUCUUUUCUUCCUAACUCUAACUACGUACUAACAAUGUAAUGUAUAUAGGAUAUAAUUUAUAUUAAUUAUAUAAUAUAAAUACAGAUAUAACUGAUAUCCGUUAUCUAAGUUUUGAAAACCAAAAGCCAUAAGGCUUGUUUGGCUAGUCACUAAAAAAAUAACCAAUUAAUCCUUAUGCCUUGUUUGGUAAAACACAAUUAGAAUAAAGACUUAAUAGGCAUUAGGCAUUGUUUGGCAAAACUAAAUUAAAACUCCUUUAACUUAUUUUAAUAACUACUUUAUAAAAGGUUAUUUGUCACACUUUUAAUAAAUUAAAUUAAUCUUAAUAACAAUAUAUUAAAUUUCUUUAACACAUAAAUCAAUACCACAAAAUUAUAAUUUUCUAUAUAUUAUAACUUUAUUUAACCAACUAACACAUCCUUUUAAUUACAAAAUUCAAAUAAAAAGAAUAAUAAUUCAAUUAAUCAAAACUCUCUAACUUAAUAAUUAAAUUAAAUUAGCAAAUAUAAUAAUUUUCUUAAUUAUUUAUUUAACAGAUAGUUAACCAAAUUGAAUCAAAUUUGAACAAUUACAAAUUCAACCAUAAACACAUCCAUUAAAUACUUAAAUAAUUCAAUAAAUAUUUAAUAUAACUAUUAAAAUUCUGGAAUGUUACAAUUAUGACCAGGGAUUAUUCGGUAUAAUCAUGACCAUUAAUGAUUACAUAAAUAUCCUUGGCCCGUAAUGCAGGGAUGAUUCGAUGAUGUGGUUUAUUUAUUAAGCUGAGUAUCAGCGAUAAAGUUGAUGAAAAACUUUUUAAAUCAUAGAAGAUAGUAGAUUUUAUGCUCUACUUGACUCUUCUAAUGGAUUGCUUAUUCCGCUGCAGUUGUUGAUCUAAAACUUGUUGUCUAUGGUAUUCUAUCAGUUGUUAUACUGUUGAAGGCUAAGGAUAAUUUAUUCUGCAUUAUCUUAGUCAUAAUAUUUCUUACUGGGCUAGUUGAGCUCACUCUUUUCUUUCAUUGUUCUCUUCANNNNNNNNNNNNNNNNNNNNNNNNNNNNNNNNNNNNNNNNNNNNNNNNNNNNNNNNNNNNNNNNNNNNNNNNNNNNNNNNNNNNNNNNNNNNNNNNNNNNUUUUGUCGUAUUUUACACGACUGUUGUAUAAUUAAGUUGUAUUUGAAUAUAUGUACCAUGUAUCUGGCGACCCAAGAUGGGUGAUGUAUACCUGUUUUGGGGGAGUCACAGCGUCGUCUCAACAUACAUUCUAAACAAUAAUGUCCCACAAGAACUAAGGAGUUGCAAUCCCGAGUGAUUACCACGCAAGGCAGAACACCGGAUAGAAUUUGAAGCUUGAAGACAUAGGACAUGGUUCCAUCUUCCUGACUUCGUACAACCUCUAAACCCAUGUCAUUGCGUAGCUCUCGACAACGGCAGUCCUAAACAUGUCUUAUAUACCUCAAUCGGAUGCUCGGAUUAAAGUUCUGUAAGUUCGAACGGAUAUCAUGUUGCACGCGUGCACGUACUUCGAGACAGUGAGACCCGCAGAGCCCGGGGCACCCCGGGCAGCAGCAGGUGCAUCUGCGGCUGCCGCAGGUACACCUGCGGCUGCCCCCUCUAUAAAUAGAGUGCUUGGGGUGGCCAUAUUUCAAGAAAAGAUGGCGAGGAAGCCCUGUCCAAUUUGCUCUGUAUACACCCUAUAUUGAGUGUUUUCUCAUUUUAAACACUUGUGAGCUCACAUAUAGCUAUUUUUUACCAGCGAGAGCCGAGUGUUCAUCCACUUAAAGCUAUAGAAGUCUUCUUUGGCAGUCCACUAUAAGCCUUCUUACACACUAUAAAGCCUUUCUCUUCAUCUUUGCGCACACUCUUCUUCACGUUGAGAGUCAUGUUAUGUGUGUAUGCCCGGACUUCGGUCUGUGGUUUUCAUUUCUAUUUGUAUAUAUAUACUUAUAUAUGUAUAUAUUUAUACAUAUGUUUGGAGCGUUUACUUGCUUAUAUAUAUAUAUAUAUAUAUAUAUAUAUAUAUAUAUAUAUAUAUAUACAUUUCUGUCAGGCCUGGAGUUUACUUUGUGUCAUUUCACUCCUUUAUUUACAUUUCGUCCUACCCGGAGUUUACUUCGUGGCGGUUGAUCAUUUUUACUAUUUUAUUUACAUUUAGUCCCGCCUGGAGUUUACUUCGUGGCGGUUUAUCGUAUUUAUUGCUUUAUUUACAUUUCUAAUCCCCCAUGGAGGUGCUUCGUAGUGGUUGAUCAUGUCUCUCUAUAUAUAUUUACCGCUUUUAUAUAUUUACAUUUUUGAUCCCCCAUGGAGGUGCUUCGUGGUGGUUGAUCAUGUAUGUAUAUAUAUAUUUACAGCUUUUAUAUAUAUAACUGCUUACUGCUUUCAUAUAAAUUGCGGCAUCAUGUGAGCCUAGGAAUCAUGGAUCACAGAUUAGGUCUACUAAAUCUAGAUUCGGUUCCCGUGAUGGACAUUUUCAGUUGUACGCAGCUUGUAAAUUAUUCAUGAUGUUUGAAUUUCCUUAGAUGGAUUUAAUGCCCAUGAGGAGUUCGGCACUGCUAUAUAUUAUUUUCUCGAAGAUGUUUCGCAUCUCAAAAAUAAAAGCAACCAAGCCGAACAUUUAAUAAUAAAAUAGAAGUAUCAAAGACCUCAAUUACUAUUGAGCACGGGGUUUGAAAAAACCUCUUUUACAAAAUCUCAUUGCUAUAUCUUGUUUAAAACUAAAUUUUUCAUACAAAUUCAAACCCUGUGUAUAUAGGUGCGAAUGAGGCAUAGCACUACUUCAAAAUAAAUUUCACAUUGAUCCACACACACACAUACACAUUAAUAGAAUAGUUUCUUGAAAAGUGGCGGUCACCGUGGUAACACGGAUGUCGGGGGGUGCCUAACACCUUCCCUCCGCAUAAUCAAGCCCCCGAACCCAAAUGAAUCUCGGUUUCACAGACCCGUUUAGCAGUUUCACAUCACUGGGUCAAUGUGCAAACUUUUUCUCGGUUACGUUGGUGCAACCAGUUAAAAACACCAACUGGCAACUCUUACAGUCAAAUCAUCGACAUAUACAUAUCGGACCUUUUUCACUUGUUUUUUCAAACAAAUCUCACCUAACAUGAGAACACCAAAGAACAAGAACAGAAAAGGGACAAAUAAAAAAUCCCGACGUCGACAGCAACUAUGGUUGAAAAGUUUUAUCAUUUACCAUAUGUUCUAAAUCUCUGUUUUAUUACUGACGAAGGCUAUUGAUAAUUUAAUUAUCUUUAGUCAUGAUAUUCUUUAUUGAGCUAGUUGUGCUCACCCUUUUGCUUCACAAUUCCUUUCAGGUAAUAAGAGUGUAGCUAGGUCGAGCGGGGGUAACAGGGGAAUAGAACGGUGGUCUAUAGCUGUUGAGGUUUCCCCUAAAAAGUAUGGAAAUAAUUUUAUUGAGAAUUUUAGAUAAAUGUGUCGUAUUGUAUACGUCAUUUAACCGUUGAUUUUGGUGAACCGAAUAGGGUGAGGUGAACUAACUUUGGAAGGGUGUUUUGUCAAUAUCAUACAAGAUGUCUAAUGACCUACGACUUCAUGUUAUCAUAAGACAGGGUUGUGCACAUCCACUUGCUGAUUAUAUCUAUGAGCACUAGCUAUAUAAUCUUAGAGUUUUGUUGAAAUAUAAUUCUCAACUGGAGAUAAUGGAGAUAAUUAUAUGUCAAGAGAAGACUCACCAUUGGAAAGAACAUGAUAGCAAUCUUCUCAUUUUUCUUUGGGGUCUAUUCGGUCAACUAAGGAUAAUUCUCGAGUCAUAUGAUAUAUAUUAUAACUUAGAUGCAUGGCCUCCCAUGUACGAAGGUUUCCUUGAGCAUUUUCUAGAGAUUUUAAUUUCUAAAACAGUUAUUGACUAUACCUUUAUGUAAGGUAUCAAUGUGAGGUGUUAUCUAAGUAAAGGGAUGAGAGUCACAGUUGGUAUUAAAACUCACAAUAUAUGUAUUGUCGUAUUUUGCACGACAAUUGUAAUAAAAAGUUAUAGUUUUUUUUUGUACCAUGUAUUUGGCAACCCAGAAUGGGUUGGGUGGAUUGGACCUAUUUUAGGGGGCGUCACAAUUUCUUUAUCUCAAAUGAUAUUCUUCAUUGUGGCUAAAAAAAUUCUUACCUUUUGGAAAAAUUAAUCCAUUUUUUCUAAGCAAUGCAUCUUUAAGUACUCUACCAUCUGUAGCCAACCCUUCCCAACCAGGCAACACAUAUAAAAAUUACAUCUUUGGUGAACAAACUCCUAAAACAUUUGUUGUAAUUUCACUUUUUCUGUUUCUGUACCUAGGCUUGUCCUCUAUGGGUAAGUUCAUUCUUAUGUGAGUCCCAUCCAAAGCCCCUAAACAAUUCUAUAAUAACAUAGACAUGGAUUACAAGAUAUACUUAAACAUAGGAGGUUGUGUUAAAAAUGUAUGUGUGUAUGUGUGCAAAUUGUACCUUGAAAUACUUCUACUUUUCAUCAGUUGAGUCAUCAGCAAUUGGUUUGAGAUUCUUAAAAAAUUCUCCUUGCAAUCUUAAAUCUUCAUUAACUACCUUAUGAAAAUGCCUACUUAUCGACUCCCCAGACCUUUCAAAGUUAAAUUUGAUAACACGAUUUUUUGAAUGGUGUCCCAGUAUAUACAAGAAUAUUACAACUUGUUCAAUUACAUCUAUGUAUUUAGUUGAACGUAAGUAACUUUUCGUCUUGAACAUAUGAAACUCAAUUUAGAAAGGUACUCAUAUUCAUCCUAAGUUGUUCAAUACAAUUAUUAUCACCUCCAUUGAUUAACUUAUCAAUGUAACGUGUCCUCCACAACUUAUAAAUAGAAUAUUGUUACUUGAAAGCUUUCCACCUAAUCAAACCCAUAAUUUGAAGAAAAAAAAACAAUUCACCAAUGUAAUCAUAUACAACCACGUUGUAAAUAGUAUAACAAUUCUCUUCUUCAUGAUAUUCUUCCUUGUAGCUAAAUUAAAUCGAGUCAUUAUUGCAUUUAGAGAGUCAAAAUAACUAAUUAUAACAUAAGCCAACUUCCAAACAUUAGUUUAUUAUAAAGUCACAUAAAAAGAAACACAAACAUAAAAGCAUGAGACGACAAGAAAUUCCCUAAAUACACACUUUCCCAGUGUAAAAAGUGUAUAAAUGGCAAGCAUCUAUAUGUUUAGCGUUCCUUUUAUUUCCUCUUAUGUCUGCCUAUUUAAAAAGUGUAUUAAUGUAUCUUUUGCAAGUUAGAAGUUGAAGUUCACCUUGUGUGGAGAGAGUAACAAAUGUACAAAAUCACAACGAACAAUACCCUCUCAAACAAGAAAACUUCAAAAGCAUAAAAUUCAUGUGCGUUAGCAGCUAAUAGAAGUAUAAGUUACUCAUCUAUUGAAACUUAUCUCCUUAAACAAAAUCUUACCUAAUCCUAGUGUUAAACCUAAAAAACAUGAAGCAGUGAGAUCAGUUAUCACAUUGAACUCAUCAUUCCAGUACCCCAAAAAAACUAAUUUCAUUUAUUCAUGGUCCAAAAACCAAUUUCAAGAUAGGAUUAAUCCAUUGAAUAAGUCACAUGGGGCGGUGUUUGUACUAUGCGCAUGAAAGUAGGAAUCAACACCAGUGUUGUCACUUGAAUGACUUUCAAGCCCAAUCCUUAUAUAAUGCAUACGUGCAACAUUACAAGUGGUUCUGGUUCAAUCAUCAAGUGUCACUACUCCAACAACUAAGACUUUCAAGCAAACAAAAAUAAUGAUCCCCAUAUCCCCCAUCCCCAAUCCAAAUUUACACAACUAAUAAAAUUCAGGAGUUUGUUGUACCAAGUAACUUACUACAAGAGCUUAUUUCAUAUUAAUCGAGCUUAUUUCAUAUUAAUUGAGCUUAUAAUCUGUCUAUAUCGUUCAGUACAUGUAAAUCACUAAAAUGUAAAUAGGGGUUUGCUCUAUAAUUCACUAAUUAUUGAAAACUAAAAAGUGAUUGUGAGGCUUUUGUUUGUUCCCUAUUCUAAUCUUCAUAAGGUCAAUACAUCAAACAUAUGGUGCACAUAUAUCCAAAAUCAAAAUUGAUUGAGCACCAAAUUCACUACAUAUAACCAAAAUCAGACUUGAUUAAGCACAAAUGAAUGAACAAAAUGAAGAAUUAAUUACAAAUAAAUAAACUGAUAUUAGAUGUCUUACCGAAUUAAAAGAGAACAGGAGAAGAGUAGAAGAAUAAAAAUUACCCUAAAAAAAGAAAAUCAAUUUGAGAGGAUAGAUGUAGGAGAUAUAGGAGAGAACAGAGAGGACAAAAUAGAGAAAGGAGAGAGAAGAGGGACAUGUACCUGUGAUGGAGGACAUGAGAGUCGAGCGAAGCUAUUCGGCGAUGGGAUCGAUCGAUCGACAUCGAAGAAGAUAAAGUCUAGUGAAAACACGAAUAAAGCUCGAUUGGAAUGAAAUAAACCCACAUAUUUAGAAAGUAAUGAAAAAUAACAUUUCAAAGUGACUAACCAAAUAUGUUUUAAGUCAUUUUAAAAAUAAUGACCAUUCCAUUCUCAGCCCAUUCCAUUCC
Molecule: long non-coding RNA, 8946 nt
Filed under: Panax ginseng (ginseng)
Lineage: Eukaryota; Viridiplantae; Streptophyta; Magnoliopsida; Apiales; Araliaceae
Description: long non-coding RNA (PGIN_LNC012445)
Source: RNAcentral